Molecule: non-coding RNA, 1725 nt
Organism: Petromyzon marinus (sea lamprey)
Lineage: Eukaryota; Metazoa; Chordata; Hyperoartia; Petromyzontiformes; Petromyzontidae
Source: RefSeq, a predicted model, not a curated record
UGGGCCACAAAAUCUACAACCUGAGAGACCUCAACAGGUGAAAGCCGCAAGGUGAAGUGGGCCACAAAAUCUACAACCUGAGAGACCUCAACAGGUGCACACCCCAAGGUGAGGUGGGCCACAAAAUCUACAACCUGAGAGACCCCAACAGGUGCACACCCCAAGGUGAGAUGGGACACAAAAUCUACAACCUGAGAGACCUCAACAGGUGCACACCCCAAGGUGAGGUGGGACACAAAAUCUACAACCUGAGAGACCUCAACAGGUGCACACCCCAAGGUGAGAUGGGACACAAAAUCUACAACCUGAGAGACCCCAACAGGUGCACACCCCAAGGUGAGGUGAGACACAAAAUCUACAACCUGAGAGACCCCAACAGGUGCACACCCCAAGGUGAGGUGAGACACAAAAUCUACAACCUGAGAGACCUCAACAGGUGCACUCCGCAAGGUGAGGUGGGCCACAAAAUCUACAACCUGAGAGACCUCAACAGGUGCACUCCGCAAGGUGAGGUGGGACACAAAAUCUACAACCUGAGAGACCUCAACAGGUGCACUCCGCAAGGUGAGGUGGGACACAAAAUCUACAACCUGAGAGACCUCAACAGGUGCACUCCGCAAGGUGAGGUGGGACACAAAAUCUACAACCUGAGAGACCUCAACAGGUGCACACCCCAAGGUGAGGUGGGACACAAAAUCUACAACCUGAGAGACCCCAACAGGUGCACACCCCAAGGUGAGGUGAGACACAAAAUCUACAACCUGAGAGACCCCAACAGGUGCACACCCCAAGGUGAGGUGGGACACAAAAUCUACAACCUGAGAGACCUCAACAGGUGCACACCCCAAGGUGAGGUGGGACACAAAAUCUACAACCUGAGAGACCUCAACAGGUGCACACCCCAAGGUGAGGUGGGACACAAAAUCUACAACCUGAGAGACCCCAACAGGUGCACACCCCAAGGUGAGGUGAGACACAAAAUCUACAACCUGAGAGACCCCAACAGGUGCACUCCGCAAGGUGAGAUGGGACACAAAAUCUACAACCUGAGAGACCUCAACAGGUGCACACCCCAAGGUGAGGUGGGCCUCAAAAUCUACAACCUGAGAGACCUCAACAGGUGAAAGCCGCUAGGUGAGGUGGGACACAAAAUCUACAACCUGAGAGACCUCAACAGGUGCACUCCGCAAUGUGAGGUGGGACACAAAAUCUACAACCUGAGAGACCUCAACAGGUGCACACCCCAAGGUGAGGUGGGACACAAAAUCUACAACCUGAGAGACCUCAACAGGUGAAAGCCGCAAGGUGAGGUGGGACACAAAAUCUACAACCUGAGAGACCUCAACAGGUGAAAGCCGCAAGGUGAGAUGGGACACAAAAUCUACAACCUGAGAGACCUCAACAGGUGCACACCCCAAGGUGAGGUGGGCCACAAAAUCUACAACCUGAGAGACCUCAACAGGUGCACUCCGCAAGGUGAGGUGGGACACAAAAUCUACAACCUGAGAGACCUCAACAGGUGCACUCCGCAAAGGUGAGGUGGGACACAAAAUCUACAACCUGAGAGACCUCAACAGGUGCACGUCCCAAGGUGAGGUGGGCCACAAAAUCUACAACCUGAGAGACCUCAACAGGUGAAAGCCGCAAGGUGAGGUGGGACACAAAAUCUACAACCUGAGAGACCUCAACAGGUGAAAGCCGCAAGGUGAGGUGGGACACAAGGUG